RNAcentral lists this ribosomal RNA (784 nucleotides) under uncultured Neocallimastigales. RNAcentral describes it as "partial large subunit ribosomal RNA". It matches the Rfam family "Eukaryotic large subunit ribosomal RNA", at positions 22 to 639 of the family's 3401-position model. The record is from RNAcentral. Lineage: Eukaryota; Fungi; Neocallimastigomycota; Neocallimastigomycetes; Neocallimastigales.
CAUAGCGACUAUCGUGGCAUAUCAAUAAGCGGAGGAAAAGAAACUAACUAGGAUUCCCUCAGUAACGGCGAGUGAAGCGGGAAGAGCUCAAAUUUGAAAUCUUAAAGGGUUUCCCUUGACGAAUUGUAGUUUAAAGAAGUGUUUUCUGUUGGAGUUUCGGUAAAAGUUCUUUGGAAUAGGACAUCAUAGAGGGUGAGAAUCCCGUAUUUGACCAUUACUUUCCAACUGUGUGAUACACUUUCAAAGAGUCGGAUUGUUUGGGAAUGCAGUCCAAAAUGGGUGGUAAAUUUCAUCUAAAGCUAAAUACUUGGCGAGAGACCGAUAGCGAACAAGUACCGUGAGGGAAAGAUGAAAAGAACUUUGAAAAGAGAGUUAAACAGUACGUGAAAUUGUCAAAAGGGAAGCGUUUGACACCAGUGUUGUUUUUCUCGAAAAUCAAUUAAUGAAUGGCUUGGAUGUUGUAGUUGUCAUGACCUUAUAAGCUUUUCUGCACUUUUUUCAUGUCUUUCGUAAUGCACUUUUCGUUUAACAAGUCAACAUCAAUUUCUUUUGUUGUAAAAGAGUUAAUAGGAAGGUGGCUUUCUUUUCGGAGAAAGUGUUUAUAGCCUUUGGCUUCUGCAAUCGGAGAGAUUGAGGUCUGCAGCGUAGAUCCUUCGGGGUUAGAUAGCACUUGUGCUAAGCUAUAGCCUUGUAUAGACAACUUGUUGACUAUGCUCAGUCAUGUAGCUUACUCGCUUAUGUCUAUUUUACCUACGCUUAGGAUGUUGACGCGCGUGUGUGCGUG